GAUGAACGCUGGCGGCGUGCCUAAUACAUGCAAGUCGAGCGAACAGAUAAGGAGCUUGCUCCUUUGACGUUAGCGGCGGACGGGUGAGUAACACGUGGGUAACCUACCUAUAAGACUGGGAUAACUUCGGGAAACCGGAGCUAAUACCGGAUAACAUUUGGAACCGCAUGGUUCUAAAGUGAAAGAUGGUUUUGCUAUCACUUAUAGAUGGACCCGCGCCGUAUUAGCUAGUUGGUAAGGUAACGGCUUACCAAGGCAACGAUACGUAGCCGACCUGAGAGGGUGAUCGGCCACACUGGAACUGAGACACGGUCCAGACUCCUGCGGGAGGCAGCAGUAGGGAAUCUUCCGCAAUGGGCGAAAGCCUGACGGAGCAACGCCGCGUGAGUGAUGAAGGGUUUCGGCUCGUAAAACUCUGUUAUUAGGGAAGAACAAAUGUGUAAGUAACUGUGCACGUCUUGACGGUACCUAAUCAGAAAGCCACGGCUAACUACGUG
RNAcentral lists this ribosomal RNA (497 nucleotides) under uncultured bacterium. RNAcentral's name for it is "partial 16S ribosomal RNA". It matches the Rfam family "Bacterial small subunit ribosomal RNA", at positions 28 to 507 of the family's 1533-position model. The record is from RNAcentral.